UGCCAGCCGCCGCGGUAAUACGGAGGGUGCAAGCGUUGUUCGGAAUUAUUGGGCGUAAAGCGCGUGUAGGCGGUUCGUUAAGUCUGAUGUGAAAGCCCGGGGCUCAACCCCGGAAGUGCAUUGGAAACUGGCGAACUUGAGUACGGGAGAAGAAAGUGGAAUUCCCGGUGUAGCGGUGGAAUGCGUAGAUAUCGGGAAGAACACCAGUGGCGAAGGCGACUUGCUGGGCCAUUGCUGACGCUGAGGUGCGAAAGCGUGGGGAGCAAACAGGAUUAGAUA
This 279-nucleotide ribosomal RNA is filed under the name uncultured bacterium. RNAcentral describes it as "partial 16S ribosomal RNA". It matches the Rfam family "Bacterial small subunit ribosomal RNA", at positions 506 to 784 of the family's 1533-position model. The record is from RNAcentral.